CCCGGGAACGUAUUCACCGCAGCGUUCUGAUCUGCGAUUACUAGCGACUCCGACUUCAUGGGGUCGAGUUGCUAGACCCCAAUCCGAACUGAGACCGGCUCUUUGGGAUUCGCUCCACCUUACAGUUUCGCAGCCCUUUGUACCUGGCCAUUGUAGCAUGCGUGAAGCCCUGGACAUAAGGGGCAUGAUGACAUUGACGUCAUCCCCACCUUCCUCCGAGAUUGACCCCGGCAGUCUCCUAUGAGUCCCCACCAUAACGUGCUGGCAACAUAGGACGAGGGUUGCGCUCGUUGCGGGACUUAACCCAACAUCUCACGACACGAGCUGACGACAGCCAUGCACCACCUGUAUAGGACCCUUACGGACCCCCCAUCUCUGGAGGAUUUCCCUAUAUGUCAAACCCAG
This 405-nucleotide ribosomal RNA is filed under the name uncultured bacterium. RNAcentral's name for it is "partial 16S ribosomal RNA". The record is from RNAcentral.